This 567-nucleotide ribosomal RNA is filed under the name uncultured bacterium. RNAcentral's name for it is "bacterial SSU rRNA". It matches the Rfam family "Bacterial small subunit ribosomal RNA", at positions 71 to 632 of the family's 1533-position model. The record is from RNAcentral.
AAAUGUAGCUUGCUACAUUACCUAGCCGGCGGACGGGUGAGUAAUGCUUAGGAAUCUGCCUAUUAGUGGGGGACAACAUUCCGAAAGGAAUGCUAAUACCGCAUACGUCCUACGGGAGAAAGCAGGGGACCUUCGGGCCUUGCGCUAAUAGAUGAGCCUAAGUCGGAUUAGCUAGUUGGUGGGGUAAAGGCCUACCAAGGCGACGAUCUGUAGCGGGUCUGAGAGGAUGAUCCGCCACACUGGGACUGAGACACGGCCCAGACUCCUACGGGAGGCAGCAGUGGGGAAUAUUGGACAAUGGGGGGAACCCUGAUCCAGCCAUGCCGCGUGUGUGAAGAAGGCCUUUUGGUUGUAAAGCACUUUAAGCGAGGAGGAGGCUACUAGUAUUAAUACUACUGGAUAGUGGACGUUACUCGCAGAAUAAGCACCGGCUAACUCUGUGCCAGCAGCCGCGGUAAUACAGAGGGUGCGAGCGUUAAUCGGAUUUACUGGGCGUAAAGCGUGCGUAGGCGGCUGAUUAAGUCGGAUGUGAAAUCCCUGAGCUUAACUUAGGAAUUGCAUUCGAUA